GACGAACGCUGGCGGCGUGCCUAACACAUGCAAGUCGAACGGGGACUUAAUGGAAUGCGGCUUCGGCCAAAGGAAGUUAAGUUUAGUGGCGAACGGGUGAGUAACGCGUGAGGAACCUGCCUUUCAGUGGGGGACAACAGUUGGAAACGACUGCUAAUACCGCAUAACAUAUUUAGGGGGCAUCCCCUGAAUAUCAAAGCUUUAUGUGCUGAAAGAUGGCCUCGCGUCUGAUUAGAUAGUUGGUGGGGUAGCGGCCUACCAAGUCGACGAUCAGUAGCCGGUCUGAGAGGAUGAACGGCCACAUUGGGACUGAGAUACGGCCCAG
RNAcentral lists this ribosomal RNA (325 nucleotides) under uncultured bacterium. Its description in RNAcentral is "bacterial SSU rRNA". It matches the Rfam family "Bacterial small subunit ribosomal RNA", at positions 28 to 334 of the family's 1533-position model. The record is from RNAcentral.